RNAcentral lists this ribosomal RNA (1443 nucleotides) under uncultured bacterium. RNAcentral's name for it is "bacterial SSU rRNA". It matches the Rfam family "Bacterial small subunit ribosomal RNA". The record is from RNAcentral.
AUGCAAGUCGAACGGAAAUCUUUUAGAGAAAUCUUUUAGAUUUUAGUGGCGAACGGGUGAGUAACACGUAAGCAACCUGCCUUUAAGACGAGAAUAACAAUUGGAAACAGUUGCUAAGGCUGGAUAGGAAAUAAAAAGGCAUCUUUUUAUUUUUAAAAGACCUUCUUCGGAGGGUAUGCUUAAAGAGGGGCUUGCGUCACAUUAGUUAGUUGGUAGGGUAAUGGCCUACCAAGACGAUGAUGUGUAGCUGGACUGAGAGGUUGAACAGCCACAUUGGGACUGAGACACGGCCCAAACUCCUACGGGAGGCAGCAGUAGGGAAUUUUCGGCAAUGGAGGAAACUCUGACCGAGCAACGCCGCGUGAACGACGAAGUACUUCGGUAUGUAAAGUUCUUUUAUUGAAGAAGAAACAAUAGUGGAAAAACUAUCUUGACGUUAUUCAAUGAAUAAGCCCCGGCUAACUAUGUGCCAGCAGCCGCGGUAAUACAUAGGGGGCGAGCGUUAUCCGGAAUUAUUGGGCGUAAAGGGUGCGUAGGCGGUUUAAUAAGUCUCUAGUCUAAUUUCAACGCUUAACGUUGUCCUGCUAGAGAAACUGUUUGACUAGAGUGAGAUAGAGGUAAGCGGAAAUUCCAUGUGUAGCGGUAAAAUGUGUAAAUAUAUGGAGGAACACCAGAGGCGUAGGCGGCUUACUGUGUCUUUACUGACGCUGAUGCACGAAAGCGUGGGGAGCAAACAGGAUUAGAUACCCUGGUAGUCCACGCCGUAAACUAUGAGUACUAAGUGUCGGGGUUAAACUCGGUACUGAAGUUAACACAUUAAGUACUCCGCCUGAGUAGUACGUACGCAAGUAUGAAACUUAAAGGAAUUGACGGGAUCCCGCACAAGCGGUGGAUCAUGUUGUUUAAUUCGAAGAUACACGAAAAACCUUACCAGGUCUUGACAUACUCUGCAAAACUAUAGAAAUAUAGUGGAGGUUAUCAGGGAUACAGGUGGUGCAUGGUUGUCGUCAGCUCGUGUCGUGAGAUGUUAGGUUAAGUUCUAAAACGAGCGCAACCCCUGUCGUUAAUUGCCAGCACGUUAUGGUGGGGACUUUAGCGAGACUGCCAAUGAAAAAUUGGAGGAAGGUGGGGAUUACGUCAAAUCAUCAUGCCCCUUAUGAUCUGGGCUACAAACGUGAUACAAUGGCUAUUACAAAGAGUAGCUUAAACGCGAGUUUUUGGCAAAUCUCAAAAAAAUAGUCUUAGUUCGGAUUGAAGUCUGCAACUCGACUUCAUGAAGUUGGAAUCGCUAGUAAUCGCGAAUCAGCAUGUCGCGGUGAAUACGUUCUCGGGGUUUGUACACACCGCCCGUCAAACCACGAAAGUGGACAAUACCCGAAAGCGAUAGCCUAACUGCGCAAGCAGAGGGAAUCGUCUAAGGUAGGGUCGAUGAUUGGGGUUAAG